This 107-nucleotide ribosomal RNA is filed under the name uncultured bacterium. Its description in RNAcentral is "partial 16S ribosomal RNA". It matches the Rfam family "Bacterial small subunit ribosomal RNA", at positions 810 to 914 of the family's 1533-position model. The record is from RNAcentral.
UGACGACUAGUUGUUGGAGGAGUUAAAUCCUUUAGUAACGCAGCUAACGCGCGAAGUCGUCCGCCUGGGGGAGUACGGUCGCAAGAUUAAAACUCAAAGGAAUUGAC